AUUAGAAUCCAAGGAAGUUGACAUGUCAUCACUUCAUUUUUUUGCACCUGCGCAUAAAUCUGAGAAACGGGAGUUUGUCAUCAUUUUUUAUCUAGACAUAGGAUAGGUUGUGUGAAAAUAUUACUGAUGUUUAACGUUAAAAAUGGACAAAAAGAUUAAUGCUAAACAACAUUUGACAUGUUUGAACGAACAUAAAUAGAUUAUUUACUAGGUUUUUUUAGCUUUUCGGCGUGAUUUUACCAGCCCCCCUCCACGUUUUGUGGGAGCAUAAUGAACGCUAAGUACUUGGUGUUAUUUGGACAUAAAUUAUGAACUUUGUCAAAAGAAACCACAUUUGUUCCGGACCUGGAAUGCCUUCCGGACCUGGGAUCCUGCCUUCUGAUGGAGAUAAUCAAAGGACCUGAGCCCUAGGACCAUGCCUCAGGACUACCUGGUAUGAUGACUCCUUGCUGUCCCCAGUCCACCUGGCCGUGCUGCUGCUCCAGUUUCAACUGUUCUGCCUGUGGCUAUGGAACCCUGACCUGUUCACCGGACGUGCUUGUUGCACCCUCGACAACUACUAUGAUUAUUAUUAAUUGACCAUGCUGGUCAUUUAUGAACAUUUUAACAUCUUGACCAUGUUCUGUUAUAAUAUCCACCCUGCACAGCCAGAAGAGGACUGGCCACUCCUCAUAGCCUGGUUCCUCUCUAGGUUUUUUGGCCUUUCUAGAGAGUUUUUCCUAGGGAGUUUUUCCUAGCCACUGUGCUUCUUUCACAUGCAUUGCUUGCUGUUUGGGGGUUUAGGCUGGGUUUCUGUACAGCACUUUGAGAUAUCAGCUGAUGUACGAAGGGCUAUAUAAAAAAAUUUUGAUUUGAUUUGAUAACAUCUAUAAUGACAUCACAAAAUGCUAAAUGAUAUGACAGGAUUAUUGUUUGGAUCACCACCAACCAUUCCAAAAGUUUGGAUUCCAAAACUAAUGUUCAUGUAUCCAAUCUUCUGAUGUUGAAGUUUUGGCGACAUGGUCUCUCUGUGUAACAUUCAAACAUUCCAUUCUCAAUACUGCAGAGCCCCAAAGAGAGAAAGUUUACGACCGGCGUUAAGUCAUAAAACUGGC
Molecule: long non-coding RNA, 1094 nt
Filed under: Salmo salar (Atlantic salmon)
Lineage: Eukaryota; Metazoa; Chordata; Actinopteri; Salmoniformes; Salmonidae
Description: lncRNA (ENSSSAG00000091714.1, ENSSSAG00000093589.1)
Source: RNAcentral